GCCAGGCGUGGUGGCGCGUGCCUGUAGUCCCAGCUACUCGGGACGCUGAGGCUGGAGGACCGCUUGAGCCCAGGAAUUCUGGGCUGUAGUGUGCUAUGCUGGUCGGGUGUCCGCACUAAGUUCGGCAUCAAUAUGGUGACCUCCCGGGAGCGGGGGACCAGCAGGUUGUCUAAGGAGGGGUGAACCGGCCCAGGUCGGAAAUGGAGCAGGUCAAAACUCCUGUGCUGAUCAGUAUUGGAUCACGCCUGUGAAAAGCCACUUCACUUCAGCCUGGGCAACACAGCAAGACCCCGUCUCU
Molecule: signal recognition particle RNA, 298 nt
Filed under: Saimiri boliviensis boliviensis (Bolivian squirrel monkey)
Lineage: Eukaryota; Metazoa; Chordata; Mammalia; Primates; Cebidae
Description: Metazoan signal recognition particle RNA (ENSSBOG00000005807.1)
Rfam family: Metazoan signal recognition particle RNA
About the family: The signal recognition particle (SRP) is a universally conserved ribonucleoprotein. It is involved in the co-translational targeting of proteins to membranes. The eukaryotic SRP consists of a 300-nucleotide 7S RNA and six proteins: SRPs 72, 68, 54, 19, 14, and 9.
Source: RNAcentral